GGAGGAAUAUUGGGCAAUGGGGGAAACCCUGACCCAGCAACGCCGCGUGAAGGAAGAAGGCCUUCGGGUUGUAAACUUCUGUGACAGGGGUCGAAAGAAAUGACGGUACCCUGAGAGGAAGCCACGGCAAACUACGUGCCAGCAGCCGCGGUAAUACGUAGGUGGCGAGCGUUGUCCGGAAUCACUGGGCGUAAAGGGCGCGUAGGCGGUUUUACAAGUCACAUGUGAAAUACCAGGGCUUAACUUUGGGGGUGCAUGUGAAACUGUAGGACUUGAGUGUAGUAGAGGUAAGCGGAAUUCCUGGUGUAGCGGUAAAAUGCGUAGAGAUCAGGAGGAACACCGGUGGCGAAGGCGGCUUACUGGGCUGCAACUGACGCUGAGGCGCGAAAGCGUGGGGAGCAAACAGG
RNAcentral lists this ribosomal RNA (407 nucleotides) under uncultured prokaryote. Its description in RNAcentral is "bacterial SSU rRNA". It matches the Rfam family "Bacterial small subunit ribosomal RNA", at positions 355 to 776 of the family's 1533-position model. The record is from RNAcentral. RNAcentral also lists the same sequence under 1 other name.